RNAcentral lists this ribosomal RNA (440 nucleotides) under uncultured bacterium. RNAcentral describes it as "bacterial SSU rRNA". It matches the Rfam family "Bacterial small subunit ribosomal RNA", at positions 355 to 787 of the family's 1533-position model. The record is from RNAcentral.
UGGGGGAUAUUGCACAAUGGGGGAAACCCUGAUGCAGCGACGCCGCGUGAGGGAUGAAGGUCUUCGGAUCGUAAACCUCUGUUAGCAGGGAAGAAAGUUAUGCGUGCUAAUCAGCGCGUAAUUGACGGUACCUGCAAAGGAAGCACCGGCUAACUCCGUGCCAGCAGCCGCGGUAAUACGGAGGGUGCAAGCGUUAAUCGGAAUCACUGGGCGUAAAGCGCACGUAGGCUGUUAUGUAAGUCAGGGGUGAAAUCCCACCGCUUACCGGUGGAAUUGCCUUUGAUACUGUGUAACUUGAGUUCGUGAGAGGGUGGCGGAAUUCCAGGUGUAGGAGUGAAAUGCUUAGAUAUCACGAAGAACUCCGAUCGCGAAGGCAGCUUGCCGGACCGUAACUGACGCUGAUGCUCGAAAGUGCGGGUAUCAAACAGGAUUAGAUACCC